Molecule: ribosomal RNA, 971 nt
Filed under: metagenome
Description: bacterial LSU rRNA
Rfam family: Bacterial large subunit ribosomal RNA
Source: RNAcentral
GCGAAAUUCCUUGUCGGGUAAGUUCCGACCUGCACGAAUGGCAUAAUGAUGGCCACACUGUCUCCUCCCGAGACUCAGUGAAGUUGAAAUGUUUGUGAUGAUGCAAUCUCCCCGCGGCUAGACGGAAAGACCCCAUGAACCUUUACUGUAGCUUUGCAUUGGACUUUGAACCGAUUUGUGUAGGAUAGGCGGGAGGCAGAGAAAGCGCAACGCCAGUUGUGCCGGAGCCGACGUUGAAAUACCGCCCUGAUUUGUUUGAGGUUCUAACCGCGACCCGUGAGCCGGGUUCGGGACCGUGCAUGGCAGGCAGUUUGACUGGGGCGGUCUCCUCCUAAAGGGUAACGGAGGAGUACAAAGGUACGCUAGGUACGGUCGGAAAUCGUGCUGAUAGUGCAAAGGCAAAAGCGUGCUUGACUGCGAGACCGACAAGUCGAGCAGAUGCGAAAGCAGGUCUUAGUGAUCCGGUGGCUCUGAAUGGAAGGGCCAUCGCUCAACGGAUAAAAGGUACUCUGGGGAUAACAGGCUGAUACCGCCCAAGAGUUCAUAUCGACGGCGGUGUUUGGCACCUCGAUGUCGGCUCAUCUCAUCCUGGGGCUGUAGCCGGUCCCAAGGGUAUGGCUGUUCGCCAUUUAAAGAGGUACGUGAGCUGGGUUUAAAACGUCGUGAGACAGUUUGGUCCCUAUCUGCCGUGGGCGCUGGAAGAUUGACGGGGGCUGCUCCUAGUACGAGAGGACCGGAGUGGACGCACCUCUGGUGUACCGGUUGUCACGCCAGUGGCAUCGCCGGGUAGCUAUGUGCGGAAGAGAUAACCGCUGAAAGCAUCUAAGCGGGAAACUUGCCUGAAGAUAAGUCUUCCCGGAGGCUAGACCUCCCUGAAGAGUCGUUCGAGACCAGGACGUUGAUAGGUCGGGUGUGUAAGCGUUGUGAGACGUUUAGCUAACCGAUACUAAUUGCUCGUGAGGCUUGAUCCU